Molecule: ribosomal RNA, 492 nt
Filed under: uncultured bacterium
Lineage: Bacteria
Description: partial 16S ribosomal RNA
Rfam family: Bacterial small subunit ribosomal RNA
Source: RNAcentral
AGUGAACGCUGGCGGUAGGCCUAACACAUGCAAGUCGAACGGCAGCACAGUAAGAGCUUGCUCUUACGGGUGGCGAGUGGCGGACGGGUGAGGAAUACAUCGGAAUCUACUUUUUCGUGGGGGAUAACGUAGGGAAACUUACGCUAAUACCGCAUACGACCUACGGGUGAAGGCAGGGGAUCUUCGGACCUUGCGCGUUUGAAUGAGCCGAGGUCGGAUUAGCUAGUUGGCGGGGUAAAGGCCCACCAAGGCGACGAUCCGUAGCUGGUCUGAGAGGAUGAUCGGCCACACUGGAACUGAGACACGGUCCAGACUCCUACGGGAGGCAGCAGUGGGGAAUAUUGGACAAUGGACGCAAGCCUGAUGCAGCCAUACCGCGUGGGUGAAGAAGGCCUUCGGGUUGUAAAGCCCUGUUGUUGGGAAAGAAAAGCAGCAGGUUAAUACCCCGCUGUUCUGACGGUACCCAAAGAGUAAGCACCGGCUAACUUCGUG